AACAGAUUUCAGCAAGUUGCUUCCUUUCUCUACCCUGCAAUGUGCCACUGUAGUUGGAAGCUGACUGAAGUUCGUCACACAAGUCUACCUGAACAAGAUAAGUUUUAUCUGACUCCAACUAUCUUCUUCAAGCACUUUGUUAAAAUAUCCACCCCAGAACUCAGUCUAAAAUUAUAUAUAUCUGCUGCCCUGAUAAAUGUUCCCCCAACAGAAGAGUUAUUUAAGCUUCUGUUAAGAUUGAAUUGAAGAUCAUUAGAUUCCAGAAUAUUUUAUCUGAAAGAACAGAGCUGUGAUAGUUCAUCAGCAAAGUCAUGACCUUGGAUCUGGGACCCUUGGCAAUCGAUUCUUUGAUAGGACUGCCUCUAGAAGAAAGAAAUUGACGGGAAGAAAAGAGCUGUGUGAUCCCAACCCACAAGCUGACAUUGGACUUCUCAAAGUACAGGUAGAAAUGAAACAUUCCUUUGCACAGGAAUGAAAUACCUCUUGGGGGGCCUGGGGCAGAAAGGACCUCUUGGGGCCCUGUUGAAACGGAAAAAAAGGUGAAUAUUGAUACCAUUGCUUUUUUUUUUUUUUAAUUUGAAUCAGGGCUGGAAACAGACACAGGACAAAUAAUGUAAGGGAUGUGGGAAAAAUAGCACAGUUCCUUAUUUAAAUGUUACACAGAAGUGCAUUAAUUCUUUCUUUAAUUAUGUUCAAGGCAGGUAUUACAAAUAAGUAAUCCCUUUAAACCAAAGAUAUUGUAUUUUUAUUGCAUUACCUAGUUAGAUAAGGUCAAACAUCGAAAAAGUGUCUCUCCAACUAACAUUAUUAUUCCUAAUAAUAAGAUAUAUGUAUUUUCUAGCUACUCAUCCUGGGUCUUCUCAUUUACUAUGUUUGUAGCCUAGGCUUUUUCUGCUUCUGCGCAAUCUGAAACCAAACAUAGUAACACAGAUCAUGAUUAUUUUCAGCUACCUAUUUGGCAAAGAUAUGAGUAGGAUUAACUCUUACACUAUUCCUGGGGGAAUCUGUCCUCAUUUCCUCAUUGUCUUCACAGAUGAAGGAGGUUUGAUGCUUUACAUCGAUGCACUGGCUCGAUUCUCAGGAUACUGAGAAACUGAUGCAAUCUACCCUGAACUAAGCAGAGCCAAUAUUCUUUAAAAUCCCAUGUAAAUACACUGGGACUUUGAACACAAACAGAAAGUUGAGUUUUGAACAUUCUGUUGAAUUUGUCAUAGUCCUGUUGCCCACAACUUGCAAUACAUUCUGUUCAUUCAACACUGGGAAACAUGGUGAUUUUGGAGACCAAGUAAACAUUGAUCCAGUGUAUUCUGAUGAAAAGAGUGUACUGGUAUUCGGCUAAGAGUAGGCAACAUAUUAGAAAGAGGAAAAACUCAUGCUUUCCGUAUAGUUGAUCUUUUGCAGUCAUCUAUGGUCAGAAAAUGGUUCAAUCUACAUGCAUAUGUUAUUGUGAGUAUAAAAGUCAACCUCAUAUUGUGAAUGUGGAUGGUUGAGGCAGAAGUUUUUGUUUUACGGAGAUGAUUACAGGAAGAGGCAAGAGGUAUUUGAGAUUUUAUUCUUUCUGAAAAUAAAGGUCACAACAUUUUUGAGACUUACAAACAAAGUGACAAAGGUACUAGUAUUAAUCAUGGUGAAUGCCAAAAUUGUAACGCUUCAUUUUUGAUGAACAGUUCAUAGUUAUGAUGCUCACGUAUAACUGUCUUACGCCUAUGCAUUCAAGACCUCUCAUAGGAAUGUGGCAUUUCUUGCUUGUGGACAACCAAAGCGCACUCUUUAGGGCUUUUCCUGGUUCAUCCCUUUGGAGACCAAGAAAGGACUGUGGAAAGUGCCCUAGGAAAAAAGCUAGAUGAAAGAUUUAUUUCAUCUAGAAUAUCAAAGAACAAUUUGAAUUAUAGCUUGUCAUGAAUAAAGUAUGUUUGUCUCCCCCUGUCCAGGCAAGUUAAAAUUAAGAUUGAAGUGUAAGAAGCGUUUUGAAUUUUUGGAAGAUUUUCUUAUAAAUUCUUUAUUUUUUUUUUUUUUUUUCUCUAUGAAAUAAUUAGCCUGCUUGAUUUUGCCUCACCAGUUUGAGAGGCUAAGUAUGUUCUUACUCUGAUAGGACUAUUUCAUUCAGCAUGACACACUGGUGACAAAAGGCAAGUGCUUGCUGCUGAUAUUUUCCUGAUUUGUAGGAGACCUUUCUGUUUGCCACACCAGGGCUAACAAAAGUACUAACAAAGUUCUGGUGUAUGGCAAGCCAUACACCAGAAACCCUCUCCUCGGUUUAUGUGAAAAUCAUGCUGAAGUGAUCAUUAGUCUACACCCACCUACAGUCCAGACAUAGACUCCCCUCACCAGCUCAGCUCUUGAGGCUGCACAUAGAGAAGUGCUUGAGAUCAUAGAUUUUCUUCCUGGGUACUCUGCAAAGGGAGCCUUGAGGAAGGACACACUAACUAAACCUGUGCUCCAUCUACUGAACUUUAAAGGUUUUGUCUCAUCUGUCUUAGCACUAACAUGGUUUAUCACUAACUUAGGAACCAGUAGGCAUCUUCUGGUCUGUGGCAUCCUCUAGUACUUGCUAGCUCUUAACAUGAAUCAGGCAUGUGAUAUGAACCAUUGAACAGUUUCGUUCAAUUCAUGAGUGAGUUUCAGCUGGGAUCCUUUCCCUCCCUUUGUUUCCCUUCUCUCCCUCCUUUCUCUUCUUUCCUUUUUAAAACUUUUAAUGUUUUCCUAUUUUGUUGUCUUAUCUUUAUAUUUUUAUUCAAGGAGAUUUUAUAACACCAGUGAUGACAAUUGCUACCCCAGAAUAUACAAAAGGCAGAUAGAGCUAAUUGCUAUUCAAACAAUUAUUUUUUCCUGCUUUCUUAUGAAAACCUAUUCUGCAAAAGAUUGAAAAUCAGAAACCCCUGAUGCUAGAAAAUAUGUCUAUCAGUGCAUGUGUGGAACGCACAUUUUUUUUGCAGUAUUUCCUAUCUUUUUUGUCCUUUACUGGAUACAUUUCUUCAUAUAGUUUAUUUGUAAUGCAUUGUAUUAGUGUUUAUCUGUCUUCUUGUCAUUAUGUAUAUGAGAAGUUUUGGACAGAAUGGUGAAUAUUUGACACACAACAGUAAACCCAAUAUGAUCCAAAUUAUACAGGCUAAUUAACAAUAACCAUUGUUUCCAUUAGAAAAUGUGCACCUAUUGAGUAUUUAGCAUCUUUGAUGUCUGUUUCUCUGUGUUGUUUGUUUUCCAGAUUCACAGAACUAAUCUGAGCUUUGUCUGUACCUAGCAGACAAAAAUGAGCAGAUACUAUUUACUUGUGUUAGAUUCAUUUAAUCCAACCUGCAAACAUGCGACUUUUGUGCAGGCUUAUGUUCUUAAGAAUAAAUUAAAUAUGAGUAUUCAUGAAACCAGCAGUCACCAGGAGAAUGUUACUUAAUUUUCAUGAAGUGACUUGUGAAUUUCCAUGCAUCUGCAUAGGCAAUGAAGCCUGUCUCAGAGAGCACUGAGAGCAGGGGUCUACAGUAUAGGCUACAUUAGUCAUCUGAACUCCAAUUUCAGAGUCUAAAGUCCCAUGGUAAAUUGCUCUGAAAAAAAUCAAUAGGUCAAAAGCCCUGUGCAUACCAAUGAAAAAACUGCUGUUGUUCUUGGUAGGUUCAGAAUUUUACUAAGA
Molecule: long non-coding RNA, 3625 nt
Organism: Centrocercus urophasianus (Greater sage-grouse)
Lineage: Eukaryota; Metazoa; Chordata; Aves; Galliformes; Phasianidae
Exons: 4
Source: RefSeq, a predicted model, not a curated record